AACAGGAUUAGAUACCCUGGUAGUCCACGCUGUAAACGAUGUCGAUUUGGAGGUUGUGCCCUUGAGGCGUGGCUUCCGGAGCUAACGCGUUAAAUCGACCGCCUGGGGAGUACGGCCGCAAGGUUAAAACUCAAAUGAAUUGACGGGGGCCCGCACAAGCGGUGGAGCAUGUGGUUUAAUUCGAUGCAACGCGAAGAACCUUACCUACUCUUGACAUCCAGAGAACUUAGCAGAGAUGCUUUGGUGCCUUCGGGAACUCUGAGACAGGUGCUGCAUGGCUGUCGUCAGCUCGUGUUGUGAAAUGUUGGGUUAAGUCCCGCAACGAGCGCAACCCUUAUCCUUUGUUGCCAGCGGUUCGGCCGGGAACUCAAAGGAGACUGCCAGUGAUAAACUGGAGGAAGGUGGGGAUGACGUCAAGUCAUCAUGGCCCUUACGAGUAGGGCUACACACGUGCUACAAUGGCGUAUACAAAGAGAAGCGACCUCGCGAGAGCAAGCGGACCUCAUAAAGUACGUCGUAGUCCGGAUUGGAGUCUGCAACUCGACUCCAUGAAGUCGGAAUCGCUAGUAAUCGUAGAUCAGAAUGCUACGGUGAAUACGUUCCCGGGCCUUGUACACACCGCCCGUCACACCAUGGGAGUGGGUUGCAAAAGAAGUAGGUAGCUUAACCUUCGGGAGGGCGCUUACCACUUUGUGAUUCAUGACCGGGGUGAAGUCGUAACAAGGUAACC
RNAcentral lists this ribosomal RNA (730 nucleotides) under uncultured bacterium. Its description in RNAcentral is "bacterial SSU rRNA". It matches the Rfam family "Bacterial small subunit ribosomal RNA", at positions 771 to 1501 of the family's 1533-position model. The record is from RNAcentral.